RNAcentral lists this ribosomal RNA (440 nucleotides) under uncultured bacterium. Its description in RNAcentral is "partial 16S ribosomal RNA". It matches the Rfam family "Bacterial small subunit ribosomal RNA", at positions 338 to 795 of the family's 1533-position model. The record is from RNAcentral.
CCUACGGGGAGCAGCAGUGGGGAAUAUUGCACAAUGGGGGAAACCCUGAUGCAGCGACGCCGCGUGAGUGAAGAAGUAUUUCGGUAUGUAAAGCUCUAUCAGCAGGGAAGAAAAUGACGGUACCUGAUUAAGAAGCCCCGGCUAACUACGUGCCAGCAGCCGCGGUAAUACGUAGGGGGCAAGCGUUAUCCGGAUUUACUGGGUGUAAAGGGAGCGUAGACGGCAGCACAAGUCUGGAGUGAAAUGCCGGGGCUUAACCCCGGAACUGCUUUGGAAACUGUGCAGCUAGAGUGCAGGAGAGGUAAGUGGAAUUCCUAGUGUAGCGGUGGAAUGCGUAGAUAUUAGGAGGAACACCAGUGGCGAAGGCGGCUUACUGGACUGUAACUGACGUUGAGGCUCGAAAGCGUGGGGAGCAAACAGGAUUAGAUACCCGAGUAGUC